AACGAACGCUGGCGGCAUGCCUAACACAUGCAAGUCGAACGAGACCUUCGGGUCUAGUGGCGCACGGGUGCGUAACGCGUGGGAACCUGCCUUUAGGUUCGGAAUAACUCAGAGAAAUUUGAGCUAAUACCGGAUGAUGUCUUCGGACCAAAGAUUUAUCGCCUUUAGAUGGGCCCGCGUUGGAUUAGCUAGUUGGUGGGGUAAAGGCCUACCAAGGCGACGAUCCAUAGCUGGUCUGAGAGGAUGAUCAGCCACACUGGGACUGAGACACGGCCCAGACUCCUACGGGAGGCAGCAGUGGGGAAUAUUGGACAAGGGGCGAAAGCCUGAUACAGCAAUGCCGCGUGAGUGAUGAAGGCCUUAGGGUUGUAAAGCCCUUUUACCCGAGAUGAUAAUGACAGUAUCGGGAGAAUAAGCGCCGGCUAACUCCGUG
RNAcentral lists this ribosomal RNA (433 nucleotides) under uncultured bacterium. Its description in RNAcentral is "partial 16S ribosomal RNA". It matches the Rfam family "Bacterial small subunit ribosomal RNA", at positions 29 to 507 of the family's 1533-position model. The record is from RNAcentral.